GGGAGGGGGAGGUGGCGCUGGCCUAUAAAUCGGAGCAGCGGAGGCUCUGGGAAGCCGGGAAGUGUAGGGGGAAGGGUAGGAGCGAGAUCGCAAUCCGAAAGAGGAGGGAGACGAUGACAUUGAAGAGGACAGGGCAGGGGGGGCUGACUGAGCUCGGCUGUGCACUGUCCCAGUGGCAGCGCACCUUUGUGCCUGCGGUAUUCGGAGAGGACGCCUGUGGCGUCAGAAGAAGGAGCACCCAGAGCCGCAGGGCUGCUCCUGACAGGGCAGCUGGUCUAGUUCUCAGCCGUCACCUGCACUGUCCCGUGGGAUGUGUGCAUCUAAACCACCUCUGCUGGUGUUUGUCACCAGUCAGUUCGAAUUUGCAGUCUUUCACACCUUUCUGCUGUUCUGAGGAGUGGAACAGAAACGAAGCGUUCACGAGAUGGAAUGCAUUAUGACCCUUAGGGUUAUUGAGGUUUUAGAACGCCCAGGGCCCCAGAGAAUCAGCUCAGCAGGACAAGCCACUCGAGAAUGGAUGAUAGCAGAUACAGCAAACAGCUGCUCCACAGUGAGCUGGAGGUAGGACUAACUCAGGCCCUCCCAGCAGUCCAGGGUGCCAACGUGAGGACUAAGGCUGCUACAGACAUCCAGGGUGGGUAAGGACGCAGACCGCAGCUGCUUCAGGUGCUGUCAGGAGCCAGAAAAUCCAGGAAUGCAGUGGAGAAGAGGCGUGAGAAGCCAACUGGAUUCAAUGUCUCACCUUCAGGACACUCUUCUGACUCUGGGAAGCCCAGUCUUCUCAGGUGUAUUCUACAACCCUGGCGGCCAAGAUCUCCCCAAGACCAGCCUUUGCUACUGAGGACAACAGCCCAAGUUCAGGAGCACCAAGGCCUUUCCAAGGCUUCCCAAGACGCUGGGCUCCACGCUUCCUUCUCCGGUGCUAGAAGGGGACAAAGAUCCCAGUGGUGGGGGCUCCGGCCUCAGGAAACUGUUCCAAGGUCCUAGGGGACUGUCUCAUCCCGAUUCCCAUUUACUCUCUCUCACCUGUCUUGCACGUGUGUGCCCAUUAGAUU
Long non-coding RNA from Tupaia belangeri chinensis (Chinese tree shrew), 1055 nucleotides. RefSeq lists it as uncharacterized. The record is from RefSeq and is a predicted model, not a curated record. Lineage: Eukaryota; Metazoa; Chordata; Mammalia; Scandentia; Tupaiidae. The transcript has 4 exons.